AGUGGCGGACGGGUGAGUAACGCGUGAGAAUCUGCCUUGGGGUCGGGGACAACCACUGGAAACGGUGGCUAAUACCGGAUAAGCCGAUUGGUGAAAGAUUUAUUGCCCGAAGAGGAGCUCGCGUCUGAUUAGCUAGUUGGUGAGGUAAGAGCUCACCAAGGCAGCGAUCAGUAGCUGGUCUGAGAGGACGAUCAGCCACACUGGGACUGAGACACGGCCCAGACUCCUACGGGAGGCAGCAGUGGGGAAUUUUCCGCAAUGGGCGAAAGCCUGACGGAGCAAGACCGCGUGAGGGAGGAAGGCUCUUGGGUUGUAAACCUCUUUUCUCAGGGAAGAAGAUCUGACGGUACCUGAGGAAUCAGCCUCGGCUAACUCCGUGCCAGCAGCCGCGGUAAUACGGAGGAGGCAAGCGUUAUCCGGAAUUAUUGGGCGUAAAGCGUCCGCAGGUGGCGAUUCAAGUCUGCUGUCAAAGCACGGGGCUUAACUCCGUAAAGGCAGUGGAAACUGAAUAGCUAGAGUGCCGUAGGGGUAGAGGGAAUUCCCGGUGUAGCGGUGAAAUGCGUAGAGAUCGGGAAGAAUAUCGGUGGCGAAAGCGCUCUACUGGACGGCAACUGACACUCAGGGACGAAAGCUAGGGGAGCGAAUGGGAUUAGAUACCCC
This 660-nucleotide ribosomal RNA is filed under the name uncultured bacterium. Its description in RNAcentral is "bacterial SSU rRNA". It matches the Rfam family "Bacterial small subunit ribosomal RNA", at positions 94 to 788 of the family's 1533-position model. The record is from RNAcentral.